AAAAAGCUCGUAGUUGGUUCUGCGUACUACGCUGUCGGUUCGCCGCCUGCCGGUGUAACUGGCAUGCCGUGGUAUGUCCUGUCGGUGGCGUGCGGAGCUUCGUCUAGGCGACGGCCCGAUCCGCAAGGAGAGGUGUCCGUAGGCCGGAGGCCCAACCCGUUCGCCUACUUUAUCCUACCUAGGUGCUCUUUACCGAGUGUCGAGGUAGGCCGACACGUUUACUUUGAACAAAUUAGAGNGCUCAAAGCAGGCUGAAAUUUCUGCCUGAAUAGUGGUGCAUGGAAUAAUAAAACAGGACCUUGGUUCUAUUUUGUUGGUUCUUAGGAACACAAGGUAAUGAUCAAUACGGACAGGCGGGGGCAUUCGUAUUGCGACGUUAGAGGUGAAAUUCUUGGAUCGUCGCAAGACGCACAAGAGCGAAAGCAUUUGCCAAGUAUGUCUUGAUUGAUCAAGAACGAAAGUUAGAGGUUCGAAGGCGAUCAGAUACCGCCCUAGUUCUAACCAUAAACGAUGCCAGCCAGCGAUCCGCCGAUGUUCCUCCGAUGACUCGGCGGGGAGCUUCUUCCCGGGAAACCAAAGCUUUUGGGUUCCGGGGGAAGUAUGGUUGCAAAGCUGAAACUUAAAGGAAUUGACGGAAGGGCACCACCAGGAGUGGAGCCUGCGGCUUAAUUUGACUCAACACGGGAAACCUCACCAGGCCAGGACAUUGGAAGGAUUGACAGAUUGAUAGCUCUUUCUUGAUUCAGUGGGUAGUGGUGCAUGGCCGUUCUUAGUUGGUGGAUCGAUUUGUCUGGUUAAUUCCGAUAACGAACGAGACUCUAGCCUAUUAACUAGGCGUUUCCGGUGCCCUCGUCACCGGCGACACUCAUUCUUCUUAAGGGGACAGGCGGCUUAUAGCCGCACGAGAUUGAGCAAUAACAGGUCUGUGAUGCCCUUAGAUGUCCUGGGCCGCACGCGCGCUACACUGAAGGAAUCAGCGUGUGCCUCCCUGGCCGAAAGGCCCGGGUAAUCCGCUGAACCUCCUGCGUGCUAGGAAUUGGGGCUUGCAAUUGUUCCCCAUGAACGAGGAAUUCCCAGUAAGCGCGAGUCAUAAGCUCGCGUUGAUUACGUCCCUGCCCUUUGUACACACCGCCCGUCGCUACUACCGAUUGAAUGAUUUAGUGAGGUCUUCGGACUGGCGGUAAUCCCUAUCGACUUGUCGGUAUCGAUGAACGCUGGAAAGAUGACCAAACUUGAUCAUUUAGAGGAAGUAAAAGUCGUAACAAGGUUUCC
Molecule: ribosomal RNA, 1272 nt
Filed under: Orthocephalus sp. S244
Lineage: Eukaryota; Metazoa; Arthropoda; Insecta; Hemiptera; Miridae
Description: SSU rRNA
Rfam family: Eukaryotic small subunit ribosomal RNA
Source: RNAcentral